RNAcentral lists this ribosomal RNA (301 nucleotides) under uncultured bacterium. Its description in RNAcentral is "partial 16S ribosomal RNA". It matches the Rfam family "Bacterial small subunit ribosomal RNA", at positions 509 to 808 of the family's 1533-position model. The record is from RNAcentral.
CAGUAGCCCGGGAAUACGAGGGGAGCUAGCGUUGUUCGGAAUUACUGGGCGUAAAGCGCGCGUAGGCGGCUUUUUAAGUCAGAGGUGAAAGCCCGGGGCUCAACCCCGGAAUUGCCUUUGAAACUGGAAAGCUAGAAUCUUGGAGAGGUCAGUGGAAUUCCGAGUGUAGAGGUGAAAUUCGUAGACAUUCGGAAGAACACCAGUGGCGAAGGCGACUGACUGGACAAGUAUUGACGCUGAGGUGCGAAAGCGUGGGGAGCAAACAGGAUUAGAUACCCCUGUAGUCCCUGUCUCUUAUACC